RNAcentral lists this ribosomal RNA (254 nucleotides) under uncultured bacterium. Its description in RNAcentral is "partial 16S ribosomal RNA". It matches the Rfam family "Bacterial small subunit ribosomal RNA", at positions 524 to 776 of the family's 1533-position model. The record is from RNAcentral.
UACGUAGGGUGCAAGCGUUAAUCGGAAUUACUGGGCGUAAAGCGUGCGUAGGUGGUUUGUUAAGUCUGUUGUGAAAGCCCCGGGCUCAACCUGGGAAUGGCAAUGGAUACUGGCAAGCUAGAGUGCGGUAGAGGGUAGUGGAAUUCCCCGGUGUAGCGGUGAAAUGCGUAGAGAUCGGGAGGAACACCAGUGGCGAAGGCGGCUACCUGGACCAGCACUGACACUGAGGCACGAAAGCGUGGGGAGCAAACAGG